GGCGGCGUGCUUAACACAUGCAAGUCGAACGAUGAAGCCUUUCGGGGUGGAUUAGUGGCGAACGGGUGAGUAACACGUGGGCAAUCUGCCCUUCACUCUGGGACAAGCCCUGGAAACGGGGUCUAAUACCGGAUAACACUCUGUCCCGCAUGGGACGGGGUUAAAAGCUCCGGCGGUGAAGGAUGAGCCCGCGGCCUAUCAGCUUGUUGGUGGAAGGUAAUGGCCUACCAAGGCGACGACGGGUAGCCGGCCGAGGGCGACCGGCCACACUGGGACUGAGACACGGCCCAGACUCCUACGGGAGGCAGCAGUGGGGAAUAUUGCACAAUGGGCGAAAGCCUGAUGCAGCGACGCCGCGUGAGGGAUGACGGCCUUCGGGUUGUAAACCUCUUUCAGCAGGGAAGAAGCGAGAGUGACGGUACCUGCAGAAGAAGCGCCGGCUAACUACGUGCCAGCAGCCGCGGUAAUACGUAGGGCGCAAGCGUUGUCCGGAAUUAUUGGGCGUAAAGAGCUCGUAGGCGGCUUGUCACGUCGGAUGUGAAAGCCCGGGGCUUAACCGCCCCGGGUCUGCAUUCGAUACGGGCUAGCUAGAGUGUGGUAGGGGAGAUCGGAAUUCCUGGUGUAGCGGUGAAAUGCGCAGAUAUCAGGAGGAACACCGGUGGCGAAGGCGGAUCUCUGGGCCAUUACUGACGCUGAGGAGCGAAAGCGUGGGGAGCGAACAGGAUUAGAUACCCUGGUAGUCCACGCCGUAAACGUUGGGAACUAGGUGUUGGCGACAUUCCACGUCGUCGGUGCCGCAGCUAACGCAUUAAGUUCCCCGCCUGGGGAGUACGGCCGCAAGGCUAAAACUCAAAGGAAUUGACUGGGGGCCCGCACAAGCAGCGGAGCAUGUGGCUUAAUUCGACGCAACGCGAAGAACCUUACCAAGGCUUGACAUAUAGCCGGAAAGCAUCAGAGAUGGUGCCCCCCUUGUGGUCGGUAUACAGGUGGUGCAUGGCUGUCGUCAGCUCGUGUCGUGAGAUGUUGGGUUAAGUCCCGCAACGAGCGCAACCCUUGUUCUGUGUUGCCAGCAUGCCCUUCGGGGUGAUGGGGACUCACAGGAGACUGCCGGGGUCAACUCGGAGGAAGGUGGGGACGACGUCAAGUCAUCAUGCCCCUUAUGUCUUGGGCUGCACACGUGCUACAAUGGCCGGUACAAUGAGCUGCGAUGCCGCGAGGCGGAGCGAAUCUCAAAAAGCCGGUCUCAAGUUCGGAUUGGGGUCUGCAACUCGACCCCAUGAAGUCGGAGUUGCUAGUAAUCGCAGAUCAGCAUUGCUGCUUGAAUACGUUCCCGGGCCUUGUACACACCGCCCGUCACGUCACGAAAGUCGGUAACACCCGAAGCCGGUGGCCCUUGUGGGAGGGAGCUGUCGAAGGUGGGACUGGCGAUUGGGACGAAGUCGUAACAAGGUAGCCG
Molecule: ribosomal RNA, 1456 nt
Filed under: Streptomyces griseus
Lineage: Bacteria; Bacillati; Actinomycetota; Actinomycetes; Kitasatosporales; Streptomycetaceae
Description: bacterial SSU rRNA
Rfam family: Bacterial small subunit ribosomal RNA
Source: RNAcentral